ACAGCACGUCAUAACCGGACGACUUGGAGUGAAUUCGGGCUCCGGGUGAAAACUGAUUGUAAUCAGAGCCUGGGGAGUCCAUCCUCGGGAGGACCGAGUGAUCGCCUGACUCUACGCCCAGCUCUUAUAUCGAGGACAUGGGGAGCCCCAGUCAACUCGCCCGGAGCUGCCCAACCAAACAUCCUGACCGCAGGUCGCCAGACUGAGAGAGCAGAUGGAGGCCAGUCACAGCGGUGCGAAGUUACGAGGAUCCGUGCUAGCACAGCGAAACAGCCAAGAUUGCAUUACUAAAGAAGUUCCAGACAUUGAGCUGAGAGACGACCUGGAAUUCAACCCGAAUGGCGCGACAUGGCACAUGAACACAAAACUGGAGGGCCCAGAGAGACACUUGGGUGUAAUGCAUAACAGCAACACUGGAGAACAUUAAUAACAGCACUUUAACCAGGCAGCCGAGAGUCGCUCACAUGUGCAGAGUGGCACUCUGGCAAGGAGAGCCACUGUUGGUUGAUGAGCUGGCAAGGAGGAGGAGGGCCAAAUGCCAGGAUUCCAGGUAAAGACACACACACACUUACUUUGGCAAGCAAGGAAGUGACACUCGAAGAAACAAGUUAACACAUGGAGGAAGCCCACAUAGUACCACUGCGGCCUUUGAUAACACUGCCAACAAGGUUGCGUUUGUGUUUAUGUGUCACUUUGAUUGCAUGUUUCACAUGGACAGUCGAGAAUUGCUCAAGCAAGAAUCGGAGGAUCCUCCCGAAAUUAAAUUGCCUGAUUUAUCAUUAAUGAUCUAGAAAUGUAUUUCUCGCGAAUAUUUACUGUAAUUAUGACUCCACUACUGAAGUCAGUGAUUUGCAUUUGUAACAUAUUUAUGUCACACUGCUGUUGCCUUAGCUGUGCACUCCCUGUGGGUGUGGUAUUAUGGUAGAACGUCAUCAAAAUGAUGAGUCGUGUGCACAUUUGAUGAGAAGCAUCCUGAAUAAAGAAUUGUUGUUCCACUCAAAUCUCGGCCUUACUGUACAUGUACUUAGAUUAAUAGAAGUACCAGGGGUUUUGGUGCUCCCUAA
This is a long non-coding RNA of Corythoichthys intestinalis (scribbled pipefish), 1064 nucleotides long. RefSeq lists it as uncharacterized. The transcript has 3 exons. NCBI's taxonomy places the organism in Eukaryota, Metazoa, Chordata, Actinopteri, Syngnathiformes, Syngnathidae. The record is from RefSeq and is a predicted model, not a curated record.